GAUGAACGCUGGCGGCGUGCCUAAUACAUGCAAGUCGAGCGAACAGAUAAGGAGCUUGCUCCUUUGACGUUAGCGGCGGACGGGUGAGUAACACGUGGAUAACCUACCUAUAAGACUGGGAUAACUUCGGGAAACCGGAGCUAAUACCGGAUAACAUAUUGAACCGCAUGGUUCAAUAGUGAAAGGCGGCUUUGCUGUCACUUAUAGAUGGAUCCGCGCCGUAUUAGCUAGUUGGUAAGGUAACGGCUUACCAAGGCAACGAUACGUAGCCGACCUGAGAGCGUGAUCGGCCACACUGGAACUGAGACACGGUCCAGACUCCUACGGGAGGAAGCAGUAGGGAAUCUUCCGCAAUGGGCGAAAGCCUGACGGAGCAACGCAGCGUGAGUGAUGAAGGUCUUCGGAUCGUAAAACUCUGUUAUCAGGGAAGAACAAAUGUGUAAGUAACUGUGCACAUCUUGACGGUACCUGAUCAGAAAGCCACGGCUAACUACGUG
Molecule: ribosomal RNA, 497 nt
Filed under: uncultured bacterium
Lineage: Bacteria
Description: partial 16S ribosomal RNA
Rfam family: Bacterial small subunit ribosomal RNA
Source: RNAcentral